RNAcentral lists this ribosomal RNA (253 nucleotides) under uncultured bacterium. RNAcentral's name for it is "partial 16S ribosomal RNA". It matches the Rfam family "Bacterial small subunit ribosomal RNA", at positions 524 to 776 of the family's 1533-position model. The record is from RNAcentral.
UACGAAGGGGGCUAGCGUUGCUCGGAAUCACUGGGCGUAAAGGGUGCGUAGGCGGGUCUUUAAGUCAGGGGUGAAAUCCUGGAGCUCAACUCCAGAACUGCCUUUGAUACUGAAGAUCUUGAGUUCGGGAGAGGUGAGUGGAACUGCGAGUGUAGAGGUGAAAUUCGUAGAUAUUCGGAAGAACACCAGUGGCGAAGGCGACUCGCUGGACAGACAUUGACGCUGAGGUGCGAAAGCGUGGGGAGCAAACAGG